RNAcentral lists this ribosomal RNA (278 nucleotides) under uncultured bacterium. Its description in RNAcentral is "partial 16S ribosomal RNA". It matches the Rfam family "Bacterial small subunit ribosomal RNA", at positions 1223 to 1500 of the family's 1533-position model. The record is from RNAcentral.
UGCUACAAUGGCGUAAACAAAGGGAAGCGAGCCGGUGACGGUAAGCGAAUCCCAAAAAUAACGUCCCAGUUCGGAUUGUAGUCUGCAACCCGACUACAUGAAGCUGGAAUCGCUAGUAAUCGCGGAUCAGAACGCCGCGGUGAAUACGUUCCCGGGUCUUGUACACACCGCCCGUCACACCAUGGGAGCCGGAAACGCCCGAAGCCAGCGGCCCAACCGCAAGGGGGGAGCUGUCGAAGGCGGGGCCGGUGACCGGGGUGAAGUCGUAACAAGGUAGC